CGGCUGCCCUGCCGGGCCCCACCAGGUGGCCACUGCUGGGCAGCCUGCUGCAGAUUCUCUGGAAAGGGGGGCUCAAGAAACAGCACGACACCCUGGUGGAGUACCACAAGAAGUAUGGCAAGAUUUUCCGCAUGAAGUUGGGUUCCUUUGAGUCGGUGCACCUGGGCUCGCCAUGCCUGCUGGAAGCGCUGUACCGCACCGAGAGCGCCUACCCGCAGCGGCUGGAGAUCAAACCGUGGAAGGCCUAUCGCGACUACCGCGAAGAAGGCUACGGGCUGCUGAUCCUGUGAGUCCAAUCCGAGGGACCUGGGCAUGCGGCCAGACCUGAUGAGCCUGACGGCGCCUGGAAAUUGUGAAGAGGCGGAGUUAGAGUUCCCUGGGGUUGGAAGCUUCUU
Molecule: small RNA, 395 nt
Filed under: Pan troglodytes (chimpanzee)
Lineage: Eukaryota; Metazoa; Chordata; Mammalia; Primates; Hominidae
Description: processed transcript
Source: RNAcentral